This 1248-nucleotide long non-coding RNA is filed under the name Ictidomys tridecemlineatus (thirteen-lined ground squirrel). RNAcentral describes it as "lncRNA (ENSSTOG00000020446.2)". The record is from RNAcentral. Lineage: Eukaryota; Metazoa; Chordata; Mammalia; Rodentia; Sciuridae.
CUGGUGCAGGAUUCACUAGGACAUUUUCUCAGCACGAGCAGGGGAGGGAGUGGGACAUGGCAAGGGAGGCGCUGGCAGCAGGCGGUCCAGGGACUGCCCGUGGGCAGGGCAGCCAGUCACCAGCUGCGGAGCCGGCCAGCAAGGCUGCUUGCUCCUGUUGUCCCCAGGGCAAUUCUCCAGCCAAGAGGCAGCUGGGAGCUGUGGCCACCGUGCUGGCCCGCGGCAGGUCUGUGUGUGUGUGACGUUUGUGGGCAGGUUCACAGGGCGCUCAUUCCUCCUGGAAGGGGCCUGGCUCCUCCCUGGUCAGGCUGGGGCUGAGGACAGCCCCUCCCUCACCAGGCCUUUCGCAAGGACCUGACGGUGGCCCAGCACACGCAGCUGGUCCUGACGCUGCUGCACGGCCUCCACAGUCACAGCCACCUGCGCUGCGACCUGGCCUCCAGGCUCCUCCUCAUGAUCUUCCAGGACGCUGGCAUCAAGCCUGAGCAGGUGGCCGAGAUCCUGCACAGCCUGCUCCAGGAGCUGCCAGGCAUCCGCUUCAAGAACGUCUACAAGACCAUGAUGAAGGCCAUCGCAGCUCUGGGAAACCAGCACACCCAGGAGGUGGUGGAGGUGACCCUGUCCCUGAGCCACCCCUUCGAGAGGAAGAUCCUGUUCCUGUGGAGGACCCUGGCGACCAACCAGCAGCUGGCCCGCAAGGUCAUGACGAUCCUCUACAUGAAGCUGAAGCUGCGGCCCUCCAGGGAGUUCAUCCAACCCACCCGCCAGGCCCAGCUGGUCUGCCUGAAGGCCCUCAACACCAUUUACGAGCUGCUGUACACCCAGGAGUACAGGGGCACGGUCCGCUGGGCCUUCGCAGGGGUGCUCAUGGGCCUGCUCACGCAGCUGCACUACCUGCUGGAGAUGGGCAUGGUGGAGGGCAUGUCAGACUACCAGGAGGACAUCCUGGACGACAAGCCCCUCGGGCCCUGCAGGACCUGCCUGGAAGCGCUGAAGGGCCUCUUCUGGACCACGAACUACUGGGAGGUGUUUGCCCACGUCAAGCUGCUCAACGGCUGGGAGUGCCUGGAGUGCCUGGAGACCUACCCCCAGGGAGUGACCCUCUUGGCCAGAGCUAUGUCCCACUAUGACUGUGAGGUCAAGGCCAUCCUGGGGCAAGCCAUCAUCUUUCUGAAGAACAGUGAGGAGCGAGACAACCUUGUGGCUAUCCUCAUCAUCUCAGAGGUCAGUUUCUCCCAGCCACCCUGA